AUGGCGAUCGUCCGGACGAAGCACGCCGAGGCGCCGACGGAGAGCGCCGCGAACACCGGCGGCACGAUGAUGUCGGCGCAGGUCCGGCCGGCCAUCCUCGCCGGCACGCAGACGUGGUCCCCGCCGCCGUCGAGCGGCACGCGCACCGACCCGGCCGCGCACCCGCCGCUGGCCAGCGCCCACACGAACGCGGCCUCCGGCGCGAACGACGCCACCGACACGGCCAGCGCCAGCGUGCCGGCCCACGCCGCGGCGUGGCGCGCCGCCGGGCCCCAGCACGGCCACCACCACCGCUCCCCGGCACUCACCAGCAGCGCCCCCACGAGCGGAUGCAUCGGUCGAGGGAGGGCUCGAGAUCGCUCGCUCGGCUCGACCUUGAUUUUCUUGGCCUCCCUGCAGAGGAUCGAGUCGGGUUCGAGACGCCGCGCAACUGGCGUUGCGAGUUGCGAGCCGGCCGUGCGGCGCGCGGGGUGGUGGUUAUGUACGCAGAGCGGAGCGCGAGUGAAGCGGCUGCGUCGCGCGUCGUGGGGGGCGGAGGAGGGGCAGAUAGAAUGGAGAGGUUAG
This 564-nucleotide ribosomal RNA is filed under the name Triticum aestivum (bread wheat). Its description in RNAcentral is "partial small subunit ribosomal RNA". The record is from RNAcentral. Lineage: Eukaryota; Viridiplantae; Streptophyta; Magnoliopsida; Poales; Poaceae.